UUAGUCCUUUUCUCCUUCUUAGCUUGAUGAUCUCUUGUUCUUAAAUUAUAGUGUUCAUUAUGGUGUUUCAAGUAUUGAUGAAUCUGCUAAUCUAUUAUAUGGUUAUCAAGUAUUGAUGUGAUAUUCUUUGAGGAUUUAUUUUUCUGUACUUAUAAUUAGCUUCAAGAUUGUUGAAAGUUAUGGUACGAAGGGUUCUUGCUGAUUUUAGUCACAAGCUGCGAAUUGUUUGACCCAUUUAGUGUAUUUUUAUUUUUGCUUCAAUAUUAUUAUGGGGUAGGCUGUAAAUUUAAGUUUGGACAAAUGUAUACUGAGGAAUUGAAGGGGGGGCAGCAUAUGUGUGG
This 341-nucleotide long non-coding RNA is filed under the name Olea europaea (common olive). RNAcentral describes it as "long non-coding RNA (OEUR_LNC010852)". Lineage: Eukaryota; Viridiplantae; Streptophyta; Magnoliopsida; Lamiales; Oleaceae. The record is from RNAcentral.